GUCACAAUUUACCCAAGAUGAGCACAACCAGGUCUGUAUGGCAGCCUCUGACGUGUCCAAGGUAUUCUACCUGAAGGGCUGAUGUGGACUGUCCUCUCAUCCUUCAUUGAUUAUCUGGUCAACUGGCAGAUGGUUGACCCCAUCCUGAGAGGGACCUUGUGGAGCUUCUGAGGCUACCAUCUGCACUGUGGUUCCUGUCUUUGUUUUCUCUAUUCCCUGGAUGCUUCUUCUACUCACCUCUAAGGUAGCUCCUGGGUGACCUUGGCUCUCCAGCUUUUUUGUUCUCCUG
RNAcentral lists this long non-coding RNA (289 nucleotides) under Pan troglodytes (chimpanzee). RNAcentral describes it as "lncRNA (ENSPTRG00000053494.1)". Lineage: Eukaryota; Metazoa; Chordata; Mammalia; Primates; Hominidae. The record is from RNAcentral.